Molecule: long non-coding RNA, 262 nt
Filed under: Linum usitatissimum (flax)
Lineage: Eukaryota; Viridiplantae; Streptophyta; Magnoliopsida; Malpighiales; Linaceae
Description: long non-coding RNA (LUSI_LNC004037)
Source: RNAcentral
GCAGAACAUGUCGUGUUCUUGCAGAACAUGUCGUGUUCUGCCCUUCUUCAGCCAAAUCAACUUCGUCCUCCCAGUAACUCCUGCAAUCAUACAAAUUUACUAAGACCAAACCAGAAUGUCCCAAAAUUCCGUUCAACAUCCAAACUCUAUUGACUUGACACUAGACUCGCCACGAGACUCAAAAUUGAAAAAUUAAAAAAAAAAGAAAAUACUUAAAACUCGGGUUGCCACCCAAGAAGCACUUGUUAACGUCGUGAGCUUG